Molecule: non-coding RNA, 236 nt
Filed under: Tissierella creatinophila
Lineage: Bacteria; Bacillati; Bacillota; Tissierellia; Tissierellales; Tissierellaceae
Description: T-box sequence
Rfam family: T-box leader
About the family: Uncharged tRNA acts as the effector for transcription antitermination of genes in the T-box leader family. T-boxes are found upstream of many aminoacyl-tRNA synthetase genes and some amino acid biosynthetic genes usually in Gram-positive bacteria. The anticodon of a specific tRNA base pairs to a specifier sequence within the T-box motif, and the NCCA acceptor tail of the tRNA base pairs to a conserved bulge in the T-box antiterminator hairpin.
Source: RNAcentral
AUAAAUACUUUGAUGGAGAGAAAAAUAUCACUGUUAUUCAAAGAGAGCUAGCAUAUUGGUGAAACCUAGUACUAACAAGAUAUAAUAUACACUCCUAAGUAGAUUCGUUGAAAAAUAAAAAGUAGGCGAAUACGAAAGCCCAUCGUUAUAAGGGAUAGGACUGUUAGGUCUGAUUGAAGAGAUGACUUUUUUGUCAUAACUAGGGUGGUACCGCGGAAAAACUUUUCGUCCCUAUA